Arabidopsis thaliana (thale cress) is the source of this 139-nucleotide small nucleolar RNA. Lineage: Eukaryota; Viridiplantae; Streptophyta; Magnoliopsida; Brassicales; Brassicaceae. The record is from RefSeq.
CACUCCUCUAUUACUUGUAGAGUAAAAAUCACAAAGUAUGGUAGAGGAGUUAGAACGGAUGCUUAUAUCGAAUUAGGUUAUCUUACCAACCCAUUGCUUUUUUCUGUAGCUUUGGCGUCAAAUGAAUCGACCUAUAUUG